GAUCCUGGCUCAGGAUGAACGCUAGCUACAGGCUUAACACAUGCAAGUCGUGGGGCAGCAUGGGAGAUGCUUGCAUUUCCCGAUGGCGACCGGCGCACGGGUGAGUAACGCGUAUCCAACCUGCCCUUCACUCCGGCACAGCCCGUCGAAAGACGGAUUAAUGCGGGAUGCAGUCAGAAAGAUGCAUAUUAAUUUGACGAAAGGCCUUCGGGCCGGUGAGGGAGUGGGGAUGCG
This 234-nucleotide ribosomal RNA is filed under the name uncultured bacterium. RNAcentral describes it as "partial 16S ribosomal RNA". It matches the Rfam family "Bacterial small subunit ribosomal RNA", at positions 15 to 235 of the family's 1533-position model. The record is from RNAcentral.